RNAcentral lists this ribosomal RNA (7055 nucleotides) under Triticum aestivum (bread wheat). RNAcentral describes it as "partial small subunit ribosomal RNA". Lineage: Eukaryota; Viridiplantae; Streptophyta; Magnoliopsida; Poales; Poaceae. The record is from RNAcentral.
GUUGUCACAAGACAAGGUACGACCAGCUAAGUUGUAACUUGAGAGGUGUCACUCGACAUGAAGCAACCAUGCGGGACUUAGUCACCGCCCUCUGGACACGAACGCUCAGGGCCGCUGCCCUUGUGAACACCGGAAGCCAAUUGUGUGAACGGCACCUCACUAAAAGAAUAGAACUCUCGUUGUGUACUAUAGACACAUGUGGUACGUAGAUGAAACGGUAAAAGUGGUAAAUAUCCUCUCGUUUUGGGCACCUUUUGGUGAACUUGCGGUCUGAGCUAGCGGUGGAAUCGUCGGUCGACUAGAUGUUAGAUGACCCGCAUCUGAGUAACCUCAGCUGCUGGGCACGCGCACACCAAAGACCAAACGACGACGACGACUAUCGCCUCUUACCGCUUACGGCGGCUCGUGGCGCAUGUCUACGUCCGUCGAGGAGGGAGGCCGUUCCAGCAGGGGCGGCGCGGCCUCUUCUCCGACUUAGCGAAGCACGUGAGCUAGCGCAGCUACCUCUCCCAGCCGUUGCGAGACCCGUGCGACCUGAAGUGUACCCGCUGGCAGCAGCACGAGUCGCCGAUGGGCUGUCACGAGGUGCACGACCUAAAGACCAAACGGUGCCGGUAUUAAAAGGACCUUCCUAACUCCAUGCAUACGUUAAAAUACAGCGGUUAUAUAAAGAAGAGAAUCGAUAUGUUACCGACAGCGGGUAUGAAGCAUCAUUGUUUGUCACUAUGUGAGUCGUCAUCUUUUCCUUUUUACUACGAUCUCAUGUAUUAAAAGAAAAACCGCCUUUUACGAUGUAUGAUCUGAAAUGAUAAGUAGGACUUUCAGACUUUACUCACUAAAAACAGUUUUUUUUUUAAUCUUUUUAUCUAUAUCACGAAGUAAUGGAUCUUUUGCCAGAACAAACUAGAAAAAUUAUAGACCUCAUGUAAGGGCGUUUUUAUUUUUAUUUAAAGACCUCAUGUCUUACACGUUAAAACCGGCCCUCAUAAGGAUACAAAUUAACCUUGUGUGAAGUAUUUUAGAGUUCUACUAUACAGCCGAGUCAGAGAACUUCUACGAAUAUUUCUACCAACACGCACAUACAUAAGUAUCCCCACUCACAUAUGCGCACAUAUAUAUAUAUACUCUUGCCCCGCAACUGGGCAACCGACCUGUCGACCCCAACGACGGUCGGGUGGGCUCAAGCUCAGGGCCGAGCCUGCGCACCACGAGUGCCUCAAAGAAGAUAUUUUUUUUACGGUUGUUCCUAAUCGGGAACCCAACCAGAGAGGAACCUAACCAGAGUAAAAAAAAUAUGCGCAUGUAUACUCGCAAAUGCAGACAUGAUACAAAUUUUUUUGUGAUAGUGGUAUGUGGAGAGAUACAUUGGAGCAGGAGCAGCGCAACGAAAGUGAUAGAACUUUAGACCGGAGAUGAGGUUCUUUACGGGGAUGUAUUGAAGUCGUUGUGAGUUGAAAUUGAAAACUGUUUUGGGGUGGUCAGGUCGCGAUCGAGCACUGAGACAAGGUUUAAUGAAUUUCUUUAUCCAACCAAAACUCAGUUUGUAGAAAUACAAACUAAUUGAAAUAUCUUUUGGUAUAAUUGUAGAUAGUUGUACUUAAUACAUAUCAUACCUUUAUAUAAAGUACUACUUAGAUUACUUUGAUUAUAAAAAAAAACGCCCUAUUACUUUGAUUAUACAACAGUAUCUAUACGCAUAUAAAAAGAUAUUUGAUUCAGUUUGAAUUUGUACAAACUGAAUACUAUUUGAAUCUUUUUAUAAAACCUUACCUCGAUAUCGAGCGUCACUAGGUUACUAGCAUCUGAUAAGUAGAAAACCAUGGGUAAUACUUGCUACCGCAGAUAGACAGUCCCGCUCAACCGUUGAGUACACGUGUAACGUGAGUACGCUUGUACCCUAGUUGUACGGUAUAAACAAUGAAUGUUCGCUGAUCAUCCUUGAAACAGAAAGGUAAUUCUUCUUCUAUUAACUGGUCCAUUAUUCCUUUUGACUGGUUUUUAACCAUGUUAACGCUACUUACGUGUGCGGUCAGGGCUCCGAUGCGUGGUUGGUUCAGAUGUUGUGGUGGUGAGUUUACCAGGUUAUACUAUGAGUUUGUUGGGUUUCCGUCUAAGGUCUCGGCGGCUAAGCCGAAGGUGUGACCAGGGUUCCGGUGCGUGAUCAGAUCAACUACCGGGACGAUGGGUUCGUUGGUUCCUGUUGUGGAUGUGUGUUCUCUUAAAGUUUCAGCGUCGAGGUUAGAGGUGUGGCCGGGACUCCGGCACUGGGUUACCUCAGCUACCGAGACGGCGGGUACACUGGUUUAAGUGGUGGUAUGCGUGUCCUCUAGUGGCCGGGAUUCCGGUACUAGGUUAGCUCAGCUACCGAAACGGCGGGUUCACUGGUUUCAGUGGUGGUAUGCGUGUCCUCUAGAGGCCUCGGCGGUGAGACUGAAGGUGUUGCCAGGUCUCCGGUGCGUAGGUGGUACAACGUGGCCACGGUUCCGGUGCGUGGGUGGUCCGGCUGCUGCUUUGAGUUUAAGGGGCCGUUGGCUGCUUCUUGGCUUGGAGGUUCCGUAACGGGGAUUCUGAUAUAUAGCUCCUAAGCUCCACAACCAAUGCAUGUCACUUGUGUAAUUGAAUACCGGGUGGAGUGUGAUACGGGUUUAAAGGACCUCAUACACGAUCCAAUUUUUGACAAGAAACACUCACACCCACCGACCAGAGUUCAAAUUUUGAACAACGUAUAUACAUCUGCAUCUCCAUCACGUCGUCAAAACUUUCAAACUUGGGUUUGUAGUGUAUUGGACAACGUUACGUGCAUAUUAAUACAUAAGUUUUUUAUAUAAAAACGGAGCAGUGCCGUGGGUGAGUCUCUUCGCUGAGUUUUCGGUAAGUAUUUAAAUCAUUCAAAUAGUGUCUGUAUAGUAAAAUAAUGUAUGUUGACAACCUUUAUUCGGGAUCUCCGUUAUUAUUUUCCUAAUAAUAAUAUAAAGGAACAAGUACUAUUAAAAGAAGAUAAGUACGAUAUUAACAUAAUAGGCCUUUAGUAUUAUGUGCACACUUAUGUAUCUGGUGUUAUACAGGGAUCACUCGGAGAUCAACUGAUCGAACAACUAGUUGUCUAUCAGUACCAAAGGACUGAUACCUGUAACCUACAGUAACUAUUGCCCUAGUGUAGUAAUCCUCUUACUACACUACCUGUUCUGGGUUAGGAUUCGUAUCGUGUUCUAGCACAUCAAGCAAAACGAUCUCGAAAAGGUUACAGUUCAUAGAGAAGGAAUCUGGUACUCUAGCACAUUGACGGCCUAUGGCAUCCUCACGAAACCCACAUGGUUUGCAGUGUUGCAUUGACCCACUGAUAUUUCCACGUGAUGUCCAUAGAGGUUUUCACAGACAACCCAACUGUAUCUAGUUCUGACCCUAAACAGUGAGGCAUACUGCCUCUCCAUAGAGACCCGGGUGAGUCAUUACGUAGUAGUAUUACUCGAGUUUCACUGGUUCACAGACCAGUACCCUAGUACGUAAUGCCAUGUUCAUUUCACUGAACGGCCAUUGCUCUAACUUGCACCAUAACCCUAUGGCUGCUAGCUUAGAGCCCGUUCAUUGCAUGGCUAACUGCUUCCCUUAACAUAUGCCCCAACGAACUUAGGAGCUGUAGCACCAAGUAGGUUACUCUAGUAGCUACUCGUACACCAUCGGUUGUACCCAUAGGUCUAGGGCGACAACCAAUAACUGGCCUCUCGUCAGAGCCAGUACAGACACACAGAGGGCUUGGGCAUCCCAGAUGUGUGAAUUCCAAGCCACUGCGAUCCCAACAUUUCUAUAAUCAUACGUCGUUUGACUUUCAAAAAGCCUCAGGGCCUACUCUGGGGCCUGCAGUGCUCCUCAAGGCCUUACCAGGAUUCCAUUUCUUAAUAUAUACCCUUCAGCCAAAAGCCGGUAGCCCAUUCAAAGCCCCAGUGGUCAUAACAUGGCCCUGGUGGCCUUCCCAGGGCCCCCGGGCUACCCACCCCGGUGGGUAGGGUCUCCCGGGGUACCCGACUUCACCCUCCCCUUGGUCGGGGACCACCCGACCACGUGGGGGGACCCUGGGGGAGACGUGGAUCCCAACCCUUGGAAUCCCCUCCCCCGCGGAGGUGAACGGAACCCCCCGUUCAGAGGGGGGAACCGGCGGGGGGGGGGGAUCCUCUAGGGUAGAGGAUCCCAGCCGCGGGGGGACCCCAGGGAUAUAUUUCUCCCCCCACCCUCCCGUCGGCGUGGGACUGUAGACCGCGGAGGGAGGGGGGAACGAUGUGGAGGAGGAGGGCAUCAGCGAACCGCUUCGGGACGGCCUUGGGACGACGUAGGUGGUGGUGCGGCAGCACGACGACCUAGAAGUAGUUGGAGAGGAAGGGGGAACGACCUAGUUCUUCCUCCUCUGCAGUGCGACUGGCAUGCACACAACUUGCGCCUCCACGGCAGGCAAGUCGCGAUCCUAGAGGCCACUAAACCUAGUGCUGCUCAUGUUGAGGGAGUUGGGGCAAGAGAACUUGCGAAGGCGAGCGCUAGAUGUUCCCAUACAUCUACGUGAGGAGAGAGAGUAACGAUCUACUUGAGUAACUAACUAGAACCACUUGCAUCUUAAAAAAAUAAAAUACGUUGCAAGGGGUUGUCACCGUAGUACUCGAUCCAGAUACGCAUCAAGAGAUAACGUGCUCAUCUUGUGUUAAACAACACCCGCAUCUACAACAGUUGAAAGAACGGCGAUGAUCAGAAUAAAACGAAGUCGCCAUAACACCCUACUUCGCCUGGCCUGGCUGGAAUGUACAUGUGAAUGCACUCUGUCCAAGGUGGCUGAGUGUACGUGAUCAACGUAUUCCACGGAUCGCCCACAGACAGAGAGGGUGAAAUCAACCUCGGCUAAGCUACUUUUCCCAGGAAUACUUCGCAUUUAUCUUCAACUGUUUAGUGCAACACCGAAAUAGCAUCCAUUCUUUUGCAAGAACGAUCUUGGGAUAACGUCGGUGCAUUUUCUACGUUGUUGUUAAUCUCCUGCAGAUUGAACAAAAACGUCGUUAACGAAACACUACACUAUACCGGUUUUCAACACUACUUACUACUUACUAUAUAACACUACAUACUCUAGUACAACAACAUUAUCCUUAGUGCUGAACGUACAGCUACUCAUACUGUUGGCCGUCCUCGGUAUCCUCAACAGAAUUAAUAACAUACUGUACGCACAGUUACUAAAUUGCGGUACAUUAAUGAAAUCAAAUAACGAUUUGGCAAUCGGUAUCAUCAUCUUCAUUAUCAACCGCUCGUUGAAGUACCUCUGUGUUACUACCUCUAGUACCACAGUUCGACCACUGCUUCUACUAGUACCUCGGUGCUUCUACCUCUAGUUUCCUUGAUAUACUAUAACCGGUAUAGUACAGUGAUGAUAAAUUAACGUACACUACAAAUAAUACAAAUACGUAGAACAAAUGAAUCUUGCUGCCAUCAUUUAUUCUACUAGGGAGUAUUAUUAAAGUUCUUUCACAAGGGGGAUUGACACGCGGCAACGAUUUCAAGCAGCAAAGCUUCGUGGUGCACUACUAACCCACACUAUCUAAGGAUGCAAGUGUACGUUGCCCACAUUCUGUCAAAAUGUGUACGUUUUUGUGAAUCCAAUUGAACUGCUCGGAUCGUACAUGUCUGUACCGGAGCCUUGUGUCUCUGGCUUUCCAGCUUGUACUCAGCAUACCUUCUAUGCUAGUUGUACCUCUACAAGUGGCUACUACUGAUCAGGCAGAGUGCACUACUAGCCUGUGCCGGAUCAGCUGAGCCUAGUACAUUGUGAAUCUACUGAUCUCCCUACAGAUUAUACUCACCCUCAAGUAAUUUAUUAAACUAAUCUACUGGAAUUAAUAGUACUUGAAUCAGAUUUUAGAAACGUUUUUACAGAACAUGUAGUUUACCGGUUACGAGUACAUUUGUACUUGAAGUUGCGCAAGGAUCUCUUUUGGUUCGACUUUCUACUACCGUCGUUGAUAAACCUGACCCAGGCCUUGGACUCCUACUAGGAGUAUCGACGGUUCUUUCGUAUACAGGAUCUUCCUGACGAUCCACUACGUGGGUAGGGUCUCUUGGUUCUGCAAUACUUGCGAACCGUCAGUGCACGACUACUAAUGAGGGAGCAAGUCACACCGUACGAAAUGUCGAAUCUUGGUCCCGAGGUUUUCGUAAAACUCGUUGUGCCUCGUAUACUCUACAAGCUCCUCGACUUUUACCAAAAGGUUCGAGUACGGGCCCAGUUCUCUAUACUUCAGAGGCUGUUCAAGAUAUCAACAUUCUACCUCCUUUUAUCAAGACAAUCACUCGUGUAUGAGUUUUACAGACCCAACGUGUUGGCGGACAGGAUCGACCUUUAAUUGGAGGGCCUGUCCGCCAGUAACUGUCUUAGGAAGUCAGCGAGGGUGGCUCGAUGUUCUCGAAACACUACUUGAUGUUAUACAUCCCCUACCACUUUUGAUAAGGACUUCAUAAAAGUUACGACUUCAGUCGUCUCAUCUUUAGUUCUUCCUUGUAGUUCACAACUACCAGUUAUUUUGGUGAUUCAAGUUCUUCCCGUUCCCAUUCUUCUUGAAGUUCUUCCUGCCGUUCCUACAACGGCGUGGGCCAUUCGGUCAACGGCCCUUCUUCAGUUUCUUACCUGGGUUCGGACUCUGACUCACGAAAAUAACGUUUCCCUUCCCAGUCACCUUCGCCUUGACGGGGUUUAUGAAUCGCCUGUUCUUCCGACCGUUGUGAUUUCCUCGACGCCUUAUUCGCCUCUGACCGCUUCCUGCUCCACUGCUACGUGCAGCCCUUACCAAGGUUCCAGCUACACUAGCAGCAGCCGUGCGACGGAGAUGUAAAUGGGUGCCCUAAUCAAAAUUUGGAGUUAUUAACAAUAAAUCACGGUUCAAACUCGUACUUGUAACAUAGACCUAGAGCAAAUUAUGCUCUACCGAUGAGUAAAUUUAGGCUCUUAUUAUCAACAAGAUAAAUAUACUCUCUAUACAAAAUACCAGUACGGGGUUACCAGUUACCAAAUAAGAAUUACUUAGAGUUCG